UACGGGGGGAGCAAGCGUUGUUCGGAUUUACUGGGCGUAAAGGGCGCGUAGGCGGUCAGCACAAGUCAGUUGUGAAAUCUCCGGGCUUAACUCGGAAAGGUCAACUGAUACUGUGCGACUAGAGUGCAGAAGGGGCAACUGGAAUUCUCGGUGUAGCGGUGAAAUGCGCAGAUAUCGGGAGGAACACCAAUGGCGAAGGCAGCUCACUGGGACGGUACUGACGCUGAGACGCGAAAGCGUGGGGAGCAAACAGG
RNAcentral lists this ribosomal RNA (254 nucleotides) under uncultured bacterium. Its description in RNAcentral is "partial 16S ribosomal RNA". It matches the Rfam family "Bacterial small subunit ribosomal RNA", at positions 524 to 776 of the family's 1533-position model. The record is from RNAcentral.